RNAcentral lists this transfer RNA (75 nucleotides) under Hyphomicrobiales bacterium. RNAcentral describes it as "tRNA-Thr". It matches the Rfam family "tRNA". Rfam says of the family: Transfer RNA (tRNA) molecules are approximately 80 nucleotides in length. Their secondary structure includes four short double-helical elements and three loops (D, anti-codon, and T loops). Further hydrogen bonds mediate the characteristic L-shaped molecular structure. tRNAs have two regions of fundamental functional importance: the anti-codon, which is responsible for specific mRNA codon recognition, and the 3' end, to which the tRNAs corresponding amino acid is attached (by aminoacyl-tRNA synthetases). tRNAs cope with the degeneracy of the genetic code in two manners: having more than one tRNA (with a specific anti-codon) for a particular amino acid; and 'wobble' base-pairing, i.e. permitting non-standard base-pairing at the 3rd anti-codon position. The record is from RNAcentral. Lineage: Bacteria; Pseudomonadati; Pseudomonadota; Alphaproteobacteria; Hyphomicrobiales.
GGGGCGAUAGCUCAGCUGGGAGAGCGAUUGCAUGGUAUGCAAGGGGCAGCGGUUCGAUCACGCUUGGCUCCACCA